AGCGUGAGCCCCUUGCCUCACACCGGCCCCUCCCACGCUGAGAGAGGUCAGUGUGAGCCCUUGCCUCACACCGGCCCCUCCCACGCGGACAGAGGUCAGCGUGAGCCCCUUGCCUCACACCGGCCCCUCCCACGCUGAGAGAGGUCAGUGUGAGCCCUUGCCUCACACCGGCCCCUCCCACGCGGACAGAGGUCAGCGUGAGCCCCUUGCCUCACACCGGCCCCUCCCACGCUGAGAGAGGUCAGUGUGAGCCCUUGCCUCACACCGGCCCCUCCCACGCGGACAGAGGUCAGCGUGAGCCCCUUGCCUCACACCGGCCCCUCCCACGCUGAGAGAGGUCAGCCCGAGCCCCUUGCCUCACACCGGCCCCUCCCACGCUGAGAGAGGUCAGCGUGAGCCCCUUAGGUCAGCCCGAGCCCCUUGCCUCACACCGGCCCCUCCCACGCUGAGAGAGGUGUGAGCCCCUUGUCUCACACCGGCCCCUCCCACGCGGACAGAGGUCAGCGUGAGCCCCUUGCCUCACACCGGCCCCUCCCACGCUGAGAGAGGUCAGUGUGAGCCCUUGCCUCACACCGGCCCCUCCCACGCGGACAGAGGUCAGCGUGAGCCCCUUGCCUCACACCGGCCCCUCCCACGCUGAGAGAGGUCGGUGUGAGCCCUUGCCUCACACCGGCCCCUCCCACGCGGACAGAGGUCAGCGUGAGCCCCUUGCCUCACCCCGGCCCCUCCCACGCUGAGAGAGGUCAGUGUGAGCCCUUGCCUCACACCGGCCCCUCCCACGCGGACAGAGGUCAGCGUGAGCCCCUUGCCUCACCCCGGCCCCUCCCACGCUGAGAGAGGUCAGUGUGAGCCCUUGCCUCACACCGGCCCCUCCCACGCGGACAGAGGUCAGCGUGAGCCCCUUGCCUCACACCGGCCCCUCCCACGCUGAGAGAGGUCAGUGUGAGCCCUUGCCUCACACCGGCCCCUCCCACGCGGACAGAGGUCAGCGUGACCCCCUGCC
RNAcentral lists this long non-coding RNA (1003 nucleotides) under Homo sapiens (human). RNAcentral describes it as "HSALNT0067684". Lineage: Eukaryota; Metazoa; Chordata; Mammalia; Primates; Hominidae. The record is from RNAcentral.